AGGCAUCGUUCUAACAUUAACUUUUUUUUGGCAGAUUAUAGAUUUAUCAUCAUUUAAAAUGAUUCUAAUGGAUUAAUUUUGGUGACAGUAUG
Small nucleolar RNA from Candida albicans SC5314, 92 nucleotides. The record is from RefSeq and is a predicted model, not a curated record. Lineage: Eukaryota; Fungi; Ascomycota; Pichiomycetes; Serinales; Debaryomycetaceae.